GGAAUUAAAGCAUAGUCCUGGGUCUCCUCCAACUAUGUAUUUGAAUCUUCUGAAACUCUUGACAUUGUGUCUCUGCCUUAUAAAAUGAAUCACCACAGCUAGGGAUUCGUGGAGGAAGUAUUGAACUCUGGUCAAGAAACAACAGAAUGAAUUGGAGAGGAGGUGUACAGGGAGGUAGAACACAGAACAGCAGUCUGGAAAAGCUAAGUAGGCAAAGUCUGACAAGUAUCUAGAGGUGGGGUCAAGUCCUAAGGCUACGAUACUCUUUAUCCCUAGUGGGGUGCUUUGGUAGGCAGGUUGGUUUCACUUAAAGCGUCUAGUGUGUGAUAGAUGAUUUAAUGGCCAUUACUUUUUAUGCUAUGAAGGACAAACAAAUAUUUAAAUUGGCUAAACCAUAAAGGGAGUUUUGGGGAUCAAAUAAUUGAAAAAUGCAGACGUAUAGCUACAUCUGGAUAGCUCCAGCUAGGUCAUCAGUGCUUAUUUUAUCAUAUCUGCUCUCUUUUAUUUUGGCUUCAUCAUCAGCCUGACUCUUCUAAUGGUGGAAAAAUGGCUCUAAGGCUUGUUCUUCCACUACCAGGACCAGAAGAGAGGAGAAAACUGCUUCCUUGCAGAAACCACAGCAUGUCAGAGGCUCCAACUUCAUUAUGAACCCAUGUCUGAAUCAAUUAUUGUGGCCAGAGCCAUGGCCAGAUGACGUGCUGAUUGGUUCAGGCCAAUGGGACCUUACUUCUGGAAGCAGGUUUAACCUACCUUAAACAUAUUGGCUAAAACUGGCUGGGAAUUGAUUCACAAGAGUAAAGGAGUGGAAAGGUAAAUGUGAAGUGACCAAGGAAUGCCCACUCUACUUCAUCAAAGUAAUUAUUUCUUAUUUUGCAAGAAUGCAACUCACAGGCAGAAGUUAGUUUAAUUUACUGUUUUCCCUAAUUGAUGAUGGAGGCAAAAUGUAUAGCUGAGGAAGGACUCAAGGCAAAAUGCUUAAGUAAAACAGGUUUAAGACACCAGGAAAACAGUAUACCAACAUCACCUGAUUUGAAUGCUAGAUUUGAAAUGCUAGAUAUAAUUUAUUUUAAUUUCUUAUUGGCUACUUCAAAUCCUGUGACCACUUCUGGCCUGUACCCAAGAUUGUAUUCCAUUGUUCUAGAUUUAUUUUAGCUUCCGGGAAAGAAUCAUUGGCCUAAAUACUUCAUUUUCCAAGCAACCCCAACAGCAAUGAUAUUUGGCAUAGUUUUGCAUGUUGGCUUUGUUUCAAACCAUCAGCCUUCCAUCCACGCGUUUUGUCUAUAAAGGCAAAAUCACAGUUUCUGCCCUCUAAAUUUUUAUGAAGCUUCUCAUCUUUGGGGAUAUUAUAUUCAAAGUUGCCAGAUGUGCAAAUACAGCCUCAGGCUGAUUCCGUGGCCCUAUUAUAAUUGGACUUCCUAUUUUGACAUCUCUCUGCUCCCACAAAGAGGAAAAGGUAGCAUCUUGAAGUGAAUUCACUGUAACCAUUUGGAAUGAAACUUUCCAGGUGCAGCAACUGACAACUGUAACUUAGAGAAAAUGACAGGAUUUGCAGCUUGGAACGUCACCUCAUGAAUCCGCCAUCCCACUUUUGAUGACAUCCUAGGAGAAUGCUUUGCCAAAUUUAUGUUUAAAGAUGGAAAGAGUGUUCCUGGAGCUCCAAACUAGUGAUGUCCUUGGUAAAAGGACAAAGUUGUUAAGGGAAUCCUCUGCAAGCAAACUUGACAGCCCCUGAAUGAACCCUUGGAAAGUGCAAGACCACCAGAAUAUCAGGUCAUAGUGAGUCAUAAAUGGGCAAUCUGUUGUGCGGAUUGAGGCUAUGCAUUGUGGAGCCACUUGAAAGUGGAUGUGAAUCCUGGCCCUGCCACAUUCCAUCUGUAAGAGUGGACAAGUCAUUUAACCUCUCUACACCCCAAAUUCCUUAACUGUAAGUGGUAGUGAAGACAACCACACCAACUGUUAUUGUAGAGUUGUUUGAGAUAAUGUGUGUAAGGAACUGGUGCAGAGUUGGUUCAUAGCACAUGAAUGCUAUUCAUGGUAUCAUCUUUCAGAAUUCUGCCACACAUGGGAAAGAAGGGGAAAAAGAGGGAAACAGCAAGCCUAAGAAACGUGACAUUUGAAGCUUUGGAAGCAUGUUAUGAUCCACAAAGCAAUGUGAAACACAAAGUGAUACAGGGGAAAUGAGACAGGUAAACUUGGAUGCUUAAAAGGCAAGAUAAGGCUUUUAAUACAAAUACAAAUAUGUAUAGGAAAAUCAUGUAUAAAAGGCACAGAACCACACAAUUAUUACCAAGAGUGUUAUUUUGGAGUCCAAUUAUAAAGAGAGCAGGUCAACAACAGCAAC
This is a long non-coding RNA of Equus asinus (donkey), 2341 nucleotides long. Lineage: Eukaryota; Metazoa; Chordata; Mammalia; Perissodactyla; Equidae. The record is from Ensembl.